Molecule: long non-coding RNA, 3339 nt
Organism: Spodoptera frugiperda (fall armyworm)
Lineage: Eukaryota; Metazoa; Arthropoda; Insecta; Lepidoptera; Noctuidae
Exons: 2
Source: RefSeq, a predicted model, not a curated record
UGCAAAAAAAUUGCGGAGAAUGGUCAUAUGGAAAUUCGUCAUUUUAAAAGCUGUAACAGUAAAACUUUGUAUUUAGAUACUUAAUGAGGAACGAAAGAACAUGGUCUACUUUUUAUUGCAAAAAAAUAGGGGAGAGUGGGUAAAAAUAGGGGAUGAAUGGUCAUAUGGAAAUUCGUCAUUUUUAAAGCUGUAACAGUGAAAUUUUGUAUUUAGACACUUAAUGAGGAGCGAAAGAACAUAGGCUACUUUUUAAUAAAAAGGGUAGAAGGCGUAGUAUGUUUGAUAGAGGAGAUUAAUGUUUGCUUGAAAAUUCGUCAUUUUCGUUAAUACGUUUCGAUUCUUAUUUAAAUACACAUAUACUUAUUUAAAUCUCCAAUAUCCCUACUACCAUACUAAUGUUAUGAAUGCGAAAGCACGAAUGUUUUUUUUUUUUUGGAAUAUAACAACGAAACAAUGUAUUUUUUUAUUGAUAGGCAAUAUAUAGGAAAUUAAAGGAUAAUAAUAUAGAUAACCUUGGUUACUUUUCAUCAUGAUUAUAAAAUGAUGAAUCGGCGGUCGUGGUUUCUUUGGAAUACAUAUCUUUAAAAAUGCUAACAGUAACAUAUUCUCAAGUAAUUCACAUUUUAGAUGACAUACGGCAGCAUUUUGACCAUUAACACCUCUACGCGGACGAAGUCGCGGGCAAAAGCUAGAUUCGAUAAAUUUUCAUUUGUACAUGUCAAAUAUUUGUUGUUUCUAAAUUCAAAUUCUGUAAAUAAUGAUUGACAUUUAUGCAUAAACUAUGAAAAGGGUGAAUAAACAAUUGUCUGUAUUUUUUUUAAUCUAUUGAAAAUGUUGAAAAGUGCAUUAAGCAUGAAUAGAAAUUCCUCAAAUAUUAAUUAUGUGUGCGUUCAGAAAGAAUGACAAAUUAUCAACAGUUACGCGUGUGUUCAGAAAUUUAUUAUGUGUAAAUUAAAGUUUCUAUUCACGUUUUCGAACAAACGAUGCUCUUUCAAUAUAGUCUAUUGGUGUGAAUGACAUUGACAUUCGUAUUGCGCGUUUUUUAAAAUAUGCAAAAUUAAAUGUAUAUUUUUCAAUAUUUCUGAGAGAUUAUCUUAAUAUUUCUUCGAGUUUUAAAAACUAAGAAGAUUUUUAUUUGCUAAUAAGUGUUUGUUAAUCAAGGUAAGUUCACAUCUUCAUUAUUGAUUUUUAGUAACUUUUGGUGACUACACAAUACUACAAUUUGGUAUACACGGUUAUGCAGAAAAUGUAUGAGAGCUUUUUAUUUUCAGUUGGAAUUUCGGUUUUAACAAUGCUACCAACCAGAUGUACAAGCUUAGGCCGCAGAACUCGAAAUACGGCAAGUCAAAGAAAUAUAAGAGCAAAUCAAACUGAUGAGCAUCGCGAAGCGCGAAAUGAACUUGAACUGAAUCGAUAUCAAGAUAGAAAUGUUGUGUUUAAUCCCCACAAAGCUGCAUUCAGUUAUAAUGUGGCAGUUGAUUACAGUUCAGAGCAAAUUGUUACUAUUGGACUAAUGAACAUUGUGUGUCCACAUUGGGAUUGAAAUAAAAAAAUGAAGCCUCUGGAUUGUGUUGCGCCAGCGGCCAAGUCAAAUUGACGCCAUUGGUACCGCCACCAGAGCCACUACAUUCAUUGGUUCAUUUUUUGACUCAUAUCCAGCAGUACAAUAAUUGCUUUCAAAUGACAUCAUUUGGGGCAACAAAAGUUAUACGAGACAAUUUUUUGCCUACUUUUAGCAAAUUCAGGGAUUCAAAUAUAUCAUCAAACAGGUUCCUUAUUGCCAGUGCCUGUUGAAGACUAUACAUUUUUGCAAAUAUAUUUUAUGGACAAUUCAGCAAGAGAAGUCGAUCAGCGUUGCGCACACAACAACUCAGUAAAGAGAUCCAUUGUGAUGAACAACUUCAAAUAUUUUUCCUUCAACACAAUGAAUUAGUUGCAUUAGACCGAUGUAUUAGACAUUCACAAAUGCAUUAGACCGCAUGCCAUCAGAUAAUCACAAAAUUGUCAUCAGAGCCGAUAAGGCGCCUGCAGGACAGUGAAAUGAUUGAAUCCUAUGAAAUAAACACUGUUAUGAAAAUAUAUUUUGUUUUUUUUUUAAAUUAGUAAAGUCCUUUUCAGGUAUAGUGAGACCAGGAAAUUAUGGAUUCAUUUUUAUAUGGAGGAUAUUUAUAGAUUCCAAUUCAAAUUGAAUAGGGACUCAUACAUAACUCAGCUAUCUAUAUCUAUACAUAUAAUAAAAUCGUAGAAAAGUGCUGUCUGUACAUUGAAAAUAAAAAUAAAAAAAAUAGCAGGGGUUAUUGUUAUGUCGAUGUCGAACACAAAAAUGUAAUUAACUUUUUUUUUGUCUGUUUGUCUGUUUGUCUGUUUGUCUGUUUGUCUGUUUGUCUGUUUGUCUGUUUGUCUGUUUGUCUGUUUGUCUGUUCGUCUGUGCGCGCUAAUCUCAGAAACGGCUGAUCCGAGUUGGAUGCGGUUUUCACGAAUAUAUUGUGGGAUGCUUAAAUUUACAUUUAGUGUUUGUUUCAUGUCAAUCGGUUCAUAAAUAAAAAAGUUAUGUCAAAUUAAAGAAUCACGUCGAACAUUCUAUGCUUAUACCAUUAAUCUCCGCAACUAUUUGACGGAUUUGGUUGAAAUUUGGUACAGAUAUAGUUUAGAACCUUAGAAAGGACAUAGAUAUAUUUUUAUUUCAAAAAUCAAAAAAUAAAAAUAAGAAAUAAAUUAUUUAUAAAUAAUUCUAUGUCGAUCGUUACACGACUUCGGUUCAUGUUAUUGUAUUAAUUUAUCGAAAAAAAGUAAAUAAAUAGUAAAAAGGUAUGAAAAAAAUAAUAUCAAUAUAAUAAAACAUUUAGUACAAAGAAAAUGCUCUAACGGAGUAUAGAUAAUUCUAUGUCGAUCGUUACACGACUUCGGUUCAUGUUAUUGUUUUAAUUCAUCGAAAAAAAGUAAAUAAAUAGUAAAAAGGUAUGAAAAAAAUAAUAUCAAUAUAAUUAAACUUUUAGUACAAAGAAAAUGCCCAAACGGAGUAUAAAUAAAUACAUAAUCCAAGUUGUCUUUAUCCUCGAUAGAUAGCGUUGGGAUCGAAAUAGAUCGCGCUAUGGUUUCGUUACAUUCAUUUGGUUGGGUAUCGGCCGAGCGCUUCGGUACUAUCGUAGAAAAAGUGUAUUAUCAGUCGUAUGAUUAUUUGUCUGUAGUGGUCCUGCUGUUUCGUAUAUUCUAAAUUGGUUUCGUUGUAUUUGUCAAUUAAUAAGUUUAUUUGUUGGGUUUUCCUGGUUUUUUGGUUAAACUAUUUAACGUAGGUUUAGUUUGAUAUCGAUUAUUAGUAGUUACUGUAGUUAGUUUUUU